Molecule: ribosomal RNA, 466 nt
Filed under: uncultured bacterium
Lineage: Bacteria
Description: partial 16S ribosomal RNA
Rfam family: Bacterial small subunit ribosomal RNA
Source: RNAcentral
GAUGAACGCUGGCGGCGUGCUUAACACAUGCAAGUCGAACGAUGAAGCCCAGCUUGCUGGGUGGAUUAGUGGCGAACGGGUGAGUAACACGUGAGUAACCUGCCCUUAACUCUGGGAUAAGCCUGGGAAACUGGGUCUAAUACCGGAUAGGAGCGUCCACCGCAUGGUGGGUGUUGGAAAGAUUUAUCGGUUUUGGAUGGACUCGCGGCCUAUCAGCUUGUUGGUGAGGUAAUGGCUCACCAAGGCGACGACGGGUAGCCGGCCUGAGAGGGUGACCGGCCACACUGGGACUGAGACACGGCCCAGACUCCUACGGGAGGCAGCAGUGGGGAAUAUUGCACAAUGGGCGCAAGCCUGAUGCAGCGACGCCGCGUGAGGGAUGACGGCCUUCGGGUUGUAAACCUCUUUCAGUAGGGAAGAAGCGAAAGUGACGGUACCUGCAGAAGAAGCACCGCCUAACUACGUG